UCCGUAGGGUGCGAGCGUUAAUCGGAAUUACUGGGCGUAAAGCGUGCGCAGGCGGUUUUGUAAGACAGGCGUGAAAUCCCCGAGCUUAACUUGGGAAUGGCGCUUGUGACUGCAAGGCUAGAGUAUGUCAGAGGGGGGUAGAAUUCCACGUGUAGCAGUGAAAUGCGUAGAGAUGUGGAGGAAUACCGAUGGCGAAGGCAGCCCCCUGGGACGUCACUGACGCUCAUGCACGAAAGCGUGGGGAGCAAACAGG
RNAcentral lists this ribosomal RNA (253 nucleotides) under uncultured bacterium. Its description in RNAcentral is "partial 16S ribosomal RNA". It matches the Rfam family "Bacterial small subunit ribosomal RNA", at positions 524 to 776 of the family's 1533-position model. The record is from RNAcentral.